AGAAAUUGAGUGCAGCGCUGGUGGGC
RNAcentral lists this non-coding RNA (26 nucleotides) under Homo sapiens (human). Lineage: Eukaryota; Metazoa; Chordata; Mammalia; Primates; Hominidae. The record is from RNAcentral.